This 292-nucleotide ribosomal RNA is filed under the name uncultured bacterium. RNAcentral's name for it is "partial 16S ribosomal RNA". It matches the Rfam family "Bacterial small subunit ribosomal RNA", at positions 505 to 796 of the family's 1533-position model. The record is from RNAcentral.
GUGCCAGCAGCCGCGGUAAGACGAACCGUACGAACGUUAUUCGGAAUUACUGGGCUUAAAGGGUGCGUAGGCUGUGCAGAAAGUUGGGUGUGAAAUCCCCCGGCUCAACCGGGGAAUAGCGCUCAAAACUACUGUGCUAGAGGGAGACAGAGGUAAGCGGAACUCAGGGUGGAGCGGUGAAAUGCGUUGAUAUCCUGAGGAACACCGGUGGCGAAAGCGGCUUACUGGGUCUCUUCUGACGCUGAGGCACGAAAGCUAGGGUAGCGAACGGGAUUAGAAACCCUCGUAGUCC